Molecule: ribosomal RNA, 253 nt
Filed under: uncultured bacterium
Lineage: Bacteria
Description: partial 16S ribosomal RNA
Rfam family: Bacterial small subunit ribosomal RNA
Source: RNAcentral
UACGGAGGGUGCAAGCGUUAAUCGGAAUUACUGGGCGUAAAGCGAGCGCAGACGGUUUGUUAAGCAGGAUGUGAAAUCCCCGGGCUCAACCUGGGAACUGCGUUCUGAACUGGCAGGCUAGAGUGUGUCAGAGGGGGGUAGAAUUCCACGUGUAGCAGUGAAAUGCGUAGAGAUGUGGAGGAAUACCGAUGGCGAAGGCAGCCCCCUGGGAUAACACUGACGUUCAUGCUCGAAAGCGUGGGUAGCAAACAGG